RNAcentral lists this ribosomal RNA (253 nucleotides) under uncultured bacterium. RNAcentral describes it as "partial 16S ribosomal RNA". It matches the Rfam family "Bacterial small subunit ribosomal RNA", at positions 524 to 776 of the family's 1533-position model. The record is from RNAcentral.
UACGAAGGGUGCAAGCGUUACUCGGAAUUACUGGGCGUAAAGCGUGCGUAGGUGGUGAGUUAAGUCUGUCGUGAAAGCCCCGGGCUCAACCUGGGAAUGGCGAUGGAUACUGGCUCGCUAGAGUGCGGUAGAGGAGAGUGGAAUUCCAGGUGUAGCGGUGAAAUGCGUAGAUAUCUGGAGGAACACCGGUGGCGAAGGCGGCAUCCUGGACCGGUAUUGACGCUGAGGCGCGAAAGCCAGGGGAGCAAACGGG